RNAcentral lists this ribosomal RNA (538 nucleotides) under Bifidobacterium bifidum. RNAcentral describes it as "bacterial SSU rRNA". It matches the Rfam family "Bacterial small subunit ribosomal RNA", at positions 162 to 711 of the family's 1533-position model. The record is from RNAcentral. Lineage: Bacteria; Bacillati; Actinomycetota; Actinomycetes; Bifidobacteriales; Bifidobacteriaceae.
GGUAAUGCCGGAUGUUCCACAUGAUCGCAUGUGAUUGUGGGAAAGAUUCUAUCGGCGUGGGAUGGGGUCGCGUCCUAUCAGCUUGUUGGUGAGGUAACGGCUCACCAAGGCUUCGACGGGUAGCCGGCCUGAGAGGGCGACCGGCCACAUUGGGACUGAGAUACGGCCCAGACUCCUACGGGAGGCAGCAGUGGGGAAUAUUGCACAAUGGGCGCAAGCCUGAUGCAGCGACGCCGCGUGAGGGAUGGAGGCCUUCGGGUUGUAAACCUCUUUUGUUUGGGAGCAAGCCUUCGGGUGAGUGUACCUUUCGAAUAAGCGCCGGCUAACUACGUGCCAGCAGCCGCGGUAAUACGUAGGGCGCAAGCGUUAUCCGGAUUUAUUGGGCGUAAAGGGCUCGUAGGCGGCUCGUCGCGUCCGGUGUGAAAGUCCAUCGCUUAACGGUGGAUCUGCGCCGGGUACGGGCGGGCUGGAGUGCGGUAGGGGAGACUGGAAUUCCCGGUGUAACGGUGGAAUGUGUAGAUAUCGGGAAAGAACACCA